AAGUUUCAGUACUCGGAUUACAAAACAAUAAAAGCACUCGAUUGUCCAAAGUCACAGGCUCCACUUGGAUCUUUUCAGCGGUAACCUCCAAUUGAGGAGACAUGCGCAAAGGCCUGUCCAGACUCACUUACCUGCGCCACCGAAAAGGUAGUCCAGAGAUGAUCCGCCCCCAGGGGCAUUGUGGACCUUGGUCGAGGGCCGAUCCUGCACGUACAACUCAGGUCAUCAAUGAACUGGAUAAAUCCAUGCUGAACAAAAGUCAGAUGAGUAGCCAAAGGACUACAAUUUAGCCUUAGAAGGCAAAACAGAAACCUUUCUUCCAACCUCAUCAAAAUUCCAGAAGAUAUAAGACAACCUUCAGGCUUAGGGAGAAAACCUCAUGCGACGGCUAAUGUUUCAUACCCUACACGAUAUACUUCACAGAACAAGCUACAUGCCAAUGCCGUGACAUUCCGGACUAUUCCGAUACCCAAUUGACAGGGUCCAGCAAGCCAUAAGGUUUCUUGACAACAGUACAGUGGAAAUGCUUUAUGAUCUCAUAAGACUAUUAAAUAAGGCCAUUGACGGCAGGACUGAUCAACAAGAGAAAGGAAGGUGCCAAAAGUACUGGAGAAUCUGACAUUCUUGCACACUGCGUGAAGCUUAAAGUAUCAGCACGACAUGCCCUAUCAAGAUUCUUCUACAUGUACCCCAGUCCGUGGACCUAAGGCUAACAGCAUUUGAUCGGUGGGGAUUGAGAAAAAAAGGCACAAAGGAUCACAUGCCAUGAUGAAUAUAGUCAUUGUGGAUCCAGGUCCAGGCAAGAAUUUGCCCCUAUCUUACAAGGUGUCAGGACAAUCCAGAGCUUUAUCCUGAAGGCCCAGGAUAACACUACUUGGCAACCAGAAAAAAUCCUCAGCAGGCAAGUACAUUGGGGGCUUGUAAGAAAUGGGCACUAAUCUGCCUGGGGGUGGUCAAAGGACCAAAACAUUUAGCAGCUGUAUAGACAAAACUAAUCUGCCUGGAACAAUGUUCCAGAAUAUAUGACAAGAUGAUAUACUUUUGUCUAUACCCCAUAACGAGAAACCAAAGUCCACACAAUGUCAAGGACUUACCUAACUCCACUGGAUGCAUAAAUCGGCAUGAAAUCCAUCUAUAAACAAUCAUCAAUGAUGUCCUACGUUGCCUCUUUAGACACUUCAUGAAUUAAUAAGUUCCUCUAACAACACAUCAUUUUAAAAAAGGGCCAUGCAUGCGAGGAAGGGUCUAGUUAAUUGAAGGGAGAUAAAGCAGCAUCCAUAUGAACGCAUUAGUGUAAUUAAAUUCUUUCGAAAAUGAUCAUUUCAGUUACAUAUAUCUAAGAAUAUAGAGGACAUUGAGGUCAAACUUUGGACUUCUCGAUGUUAUUUAUGAUCCCACCUCCUCUACAAAAUUGUUCAAUUUCAGAAAUGAACAUGCGGAUCUACAACCAGACUUUGCUAUCUAACGACAAUGUUAUCCAGUACCAGCUCAAACCUGUACUGACAAGCAAGAGCUUCCGAACAUGUGGACCUCUCUAAGUUCAAAAGUUACCCCACUGCAAUUAAUUAUGGCAAAAGAAAUUUGAAGAAGGAUUAAACUUUUGAGCUUGCAACAUCUGUGCGAAAAGUGGAAUAAUUGGCCACUUCUUGGAUGACAUGACCUAAGAAACAGAACCAGGAAACCCCAAAACGGAUUUUGAUUGGAUAAAAACAAGUCUAAAACUAUGUCAGUUAAGACUCCUCAUAAAACUUAGAAUUGAUAAAAAAGUAGGCACUUCACGUCAUUGUAUUCCUUAUGGCAAAGAUUUUUCUCUUCUUGUACCUUAAGGAUGCACCCUUAAGUUUUGCAAAAAACUGACUGAAGAAUUUUGACUUGCUUGACCAUGCUAAAGAGAGAACAAGCUUACAUUAAGUAUUAACAUUGUGUGGACGACAGCAAACAAGCAUACAAGUUUUGCAUUUUCACAAAAAAGAGGAGACAUGUUUCACAUGCAAUCAAAUAGAUUCCACAGGCAGUAAAAGAAUCAAAGGUACUGUUCUUUAUUCUUGUUAGCAAAAACGGUUGCACCCUCCGCUGACACUGUCCUAGAGUUCACUAGCAAAAGGCCUCCACUCUACAAAUGAAAUAUCAAGUUAUAGCGACAUCACAAUCAAAUAAGCAAUAUAACUUCCCUCGGAAAGCAAGCAGAAUGUGAGUUAUAUUAAAAUGAAAGUUCAAAUAUCACACUGACAAAAACUUCUGUGAGUUACCUGUAUAACAUGGUUAUAAUCCUCCCAAUUAUCUCUCCAGGUAUAAGACUUUAGUUGGCAAAUACUCACUAAAGUUGCUAAAACAGUUAUCCUCUAAAAUGUUGAAUGACAAAGCUGUCAUGGCUAGAAAUUUACCGUGAGGAAGUUGCCAGUGUUCUGACCAUCAGCUCUCAUGUAGUUGUUUGAGGAAGUACUAUGAAUCCCAGCAGGAAUCUGCUUGGUAACAUCUACUGGAGGAGAAACAACCGCAGGUUUUGAGGGAGGUGGAUUAUCCACCUCAGCCGGAGCAGUCUGAGGACUGCUUGCAGCUGCCUUUGGAGCCUCUCCACUACCGAAAAGGUAGCCCAAAGAACUCUGUCCUCCACCACUGCUAACUCCACGACCCAUUGCGCC
RNAcentral lists this long non-coding RNA (2642 nucleotides) under Eucalyptus grandis. Its description in RNAcentral is "long non-coding RNA (EGRA_LNC001071)". Lineage: Eukaryota; Viridiplantae; Streptophyta; Magnoliopsida; Myrtales; Myrtaceae. The record is from RNAcentral.